Oryzias melastigma (Indian medaka) is the source of this 5545-nucleotide long non-coding RNA. RefSeq lists it as uncharacterized. The transcript is spliced from 4 exons. Lineage: Eukaryota; Metazoa; Chordata; Actinopteri; Beloniformes; Adrianichthyidae. The record is from RefSeq and is a predicted model, not a curated record.
UCUGCUUCUUAAAAACUGCUUUGCCUCCCCGCUACUCCUCAGACUCAGCUCUCAGAGCCUCGGGAUUCUUUGCAGAAACAAAGCUGCUGUCUGAGAGGGGGAAAUGUGCAAAUUUGUGAGUGACUUACUGCUUAGGCACGUUAGGUUUUCCAUCAGGAGAGUGACAAUUAAGGGCCUGACCCCCCAGCUGGGGAAGCUUCCCCUUACGCACUUCAUUCUCCCGAAUGCUGAUUUAUUUAUGAGCACCCCCGGAUCAGGAGGAUCGUGUUCCAUUUACUACAUCUGGUUUAGAUUUCCAGCGCAACACCUUUCAAGUUUCCCCCCUUAAAUGCGCAUGUCAGAUGGAAACGCUGCAGAUGAGAGACGCGGCGCUCAGCCACGAGAUGCGGUGUCAUUCAUGCGUUUUGUGGUAUUUUUUGAAGGGAAGGAGGAACUACAGAGGUCCAGGCUGACGGCACGCGGCCGUGAGGAGAGCCUUCAAACUGAGCAGCAUCAUGCAUCUCUGCUGCUGAGCUGCCGUCGUACAGCGGGGAGCCAGCAGAGGGCGCUGUGGCGGAGUGAGCCAGGCCUGGAUAGUGGCUGCUGGAGCCUCGGAGGAACUGCGAGCCAAAGCAGCUGUUUAUGCCCCCAUUCUGGGGCACUGAGGUGAAAAGCUGAGAGGUGAGCAGACCUGGAGCUGGCUCCGGAGGGGGAGCUGUGGGCCAUGGUGCCGGAGUGUGCCGGCAUCUGGAGACUCGACCAGUUAUCAUGAGGGGUGAGCAUCGACAGGCAGGAGGACGUGUUUUCGGAGUAAUCUGCUGCGACACAAAGACAUCGUCACACAUCGCAGCGAAUGACACUCUGAGGAAGAGGCGGUGACAGCGAUGAACUGCGUCUCUGGGAAGGAGUGGCUGGUGAUCAUCCUGCGCGGGCCUCCGACGCGCACGAUGUGGAUGCGCGGCUCGUAUUUGUGCAGAGAGUUUAACAUGAUCUGGAAGCAACACCACCCCCGUUAACGAACGGCUCUCGUUCAGCGCGUGCCGAGCAGUGACCCCCCUCACCUCACCUCACCUGACCCCCGCCGUUGAGUUUGUUGGUGAGUUUGACUUUACUGAAGGAGACCGGCGCCUUCAUCCAGUGCGCGCCGAAGUUUGGAGAGUCCGGAUGGAUGUAGACGCAGCUGGGAGUCUGGGGCUCCGGUUUGCCCCCGGGGACCCACUCCCCGUUCACGUACUUCCACCUGUGGUUGUCCGCCGACACAAAGUCCAGCAGAAAAGAAUACAUGGCGUUCGGGUCCAGUCCGGACACGCUCACUUUCAGAACCGGGAACAUGCGCCUUCAAAGACAACACCAAAAACCAAUGACUGGAGGUGGUUUUACGCACGCGCGUCUGCUUCCAUAGCCGGGGCUCACCUGCCAUUCUUGGUGACAAUCAUCUCGUUUGUGAGCUCCUUGAACUUCUGCCACAGGACGCUCUCCUCCAGGGACACCCUCAGCUCCCUCUCCGUGGGGUCCCCCUUCUCGCUGCCGGCCUGCAGCUCGCUCUCCACGGCGCUGAGGAGGUGGUCCACCCGGUACUGGACGGCCUUGCUGGGGCACUCCCGCGCGCCUGACGCCAUCCUGCUCACUCAGCUGAACCAAACUCCCGUCCACUGUCCCUGUUUUCAGGUCUCCAGCCUCAUCAGUGCCGGGCAUGAGGAGGAGCAGCGGGAUAUAUGAGGAGAGGAGACGCACGGGUCACGUGCUUGGCUGGCCUUCCCUUUGAUGUGUGCGGGCUGGAUGAGGAUUGGCCGUAUCUGAGCCUCACAGGAUGACAGCGAUUGAAAGAAGCAGUUUAACCGUCUUUAUUGCAUCUACCUGUAAAUAUUGACACUUAGAUCAAAGCCACACCUGCAGAAGCUACUGUAGACCAGCAUGACUCUCAGAAGGAGACUUCUUGCUUCCUCUUCCUUUUUAUUGAUAAAAAGACUCUAUCCUUACAAUGUAAGCCGAGAAAAAUGUGCUAAUCCUGUUCUUUUUACAACUUUCUUAAUUAGUUUACAACUAGUCUCUCAAUAACUUUAGAUGCAGAAAAUACAAACUUUUUGUACAAUGGAAGAAUUUAAUUCUAAGGAAAAAUGUUAUAUUUUGUGUCUUGACAGAAAAAAAGUUUUUUCAACACAAUUAGUUUAAGAAAACACGUCUUAAUGACCAGAACUUUUUUUUUUAAUAAAAUGGGAAUUCUUGGUAAAACUAUUUUCUUAUCAAAUUGAUGGAUUAUUUAUAUUUAUUUGCUCAGUCACACCAAUUUCACAUUUUUUAACUUAUAACGGCCUGUUUUUGCAGUCUAAGUUUCACAUUUUUCACAGAAUAUUAAGAAAAAUUGACUUUUGCAUGACAUUUUCUUUUACUUUUUACCAAAAAAAUCAAAAGAACAAAAAACAUAAAGGGUCAACGUCUGCAAUGUUUUCAUUGAAAACUUGUAAUUAAAGUAUAGGUUUGAAUGUUUUGGUCCAAGAGAAGUCUGCAAAAAGAGGCAGUCUAAAAAUAGGAAAAAGUACAAUAAUUUUAAGAGGAAAAUCAUUAGAAAGUAGUUAAACCGUCUGAAGGUGCAAGAAACAGAAGAAAUCUUAUAAGAUAUCCAUUUCUAGACACAAGAAUUCAAAAAGCUUAAAAAAGCUAAUUGUUAGAUCAAAUUGAAUGUUAUGGAGCUUGUUUUCUUUGGCUUUUUCUAACCAAAUGGUUUGUAUUUCUUUGUGAAGCUUAUUACAGUUCCUUUUGAUUUCAGUAACUGAUGUAAUAAUGAGUGUAAAUGACUUAUUUUAGAUGAAUAUGUGAAGAAAAUAAUAAUGCAAUCUUACAAGUUGCCCCAUCUCAAUAAAUCUUCAUAAAAUCUAAAACUAGCUCUUAUUCUUAGAACCUAAAUCGAAUAUUUUGCUUCCAAAAUAAUGAUUGUCAGUCUGGCUUUUAUGGAACUUAUCAAUAAGAUAAAUUGAACCAAAAACAACAAAUAACGUUUGAGUUUUUUGUGUCUUAAAUCAAGUUUCAAAUGUCUAAAAAAAAAGUUUUAAAACUUUGUUAGGAUGAUUUAAGUAUGCAGCAUUACUGCAAGUGAUUCACAUCUGAUUGGCACAGCCAUCAUUUUUACAUACAGAGCCUCAGUGACACUGUUGCUAUGGUGGUUGCCAAAAAAUAUGUUUACCUUUGUGUGUAAAUCAUGUGUUGCAUAUGUGCACGUUUCCUUAGUGUAACUGAAUCCUGGGCGCCGUGUCCGUCCUGCCAGCUCAGAGUCUGUUUCUCUGUCCAACAGUCUGGAGUCGAGUUCACAGCAAGCAGAGAAAAACAAACUGCAGCCUGUUUAAAGAGCAGUUAGAAGGGUUUCUGCGUUACUGAGAUGAUGGGACAGUGCUGCUCUGAAGUGGAUCCGCUUUCUCCUGACUGAUCUUUUUAAAUCUCACAGCUUGCAGAUAUGCACCGUGGUAACUGCGGCGUGAGAAAACUUGCGUCAUUUUUCACAGCCCCAGUGUUUCAUUUGGUGCCUGUGUUUCUUAUUCCCAACACCCCACCUGGUGCGGACCGUCACACCAGGCCGCUUCCUGUUGCUGAAUUUACAUCCCUAAUCUAUUCAUGUGCCAGCAGGAUUUACCCAAAGGACAGCCCUCUGGCUUCCAGAUUGAAGCACAUGGUAAAGUAAAAUGAAUAAAAGCUACCAGUUCACCAAAAAUCCUCUAGGGGGGGCUUGAUCACAGUCACAUAUCAGAUUUAACAACACAAAGAAAAGUACUUAAAGCCUAGUUGCAAAGAGUUUGUAUUUUUGUUAAAGAGGUUAAGAAGGAUCUCUAGUUGGGUUUUUAACCUCUUAUGCUUCAUUUCAGUUGAUUUUGAGAAGAUUGAAGCAGUAAUUAAUGUAUUUUUCAGUUGUACUUACUGUAUGUGGAUGUGAGAUCAUUUAAAUGUUUAUGUUUUAUGACUUUUUUCUCAAACUUCCUGUGACUUUAUUUAUGCAAACAAAACAGUAAAAAAAAGGCUCAUGGACUACAGGAUGGAGUCACACCAUUCACUUUUACUUACUAUUCUCUGAACUAGUGCAAAAACCAGCAACCUGUGGCCCUGGAGCGAUACUCUUUACUGUCUUUUCACUUCGCUUUGAAGAAAAUGCCAACAAUUUAAGGACCUACUCCAGUGAAAAUUGUGUUUCUCUAGCAAUUUUCUCAAGGUGGAGGAUUUAUAUUAAAGAAUUUAAGAUCAAAACUGCAUUUCUUAUUAUUAAAAAAAAAUAUAUCAUGAUAAAUCAGGAGCUGAUCAAAAGACGAUAGGAGUCAGACUUUGAAGUUUUGGUUAAGUUGUCAUAAAUUUUAAUGUUUAUAUUCUUAAAAUGUCAGACGAAUGAACAAACAGAUGCACAUAUUGAUGCACAACAGUGUCUAGUUGCUGUUAGAGGCAAAGAUGUUUAAAUGAAUUAUAUAGGCUACAAUACGUUUUUAAAAAACUGCAUUCUACAUCAAUGUUGUCAUGUUUAUAUUGGAUAGUAAAAGAAGAAAAAAGAUGACGGUGCACUAUCUGUAAAUCUGCAGCAGUGCUUAUGUCAAAAGUAAAAGAAGUGAAAACUGUUAUAUAUUGAAAACUAUAUCACUUUAUUACUAUAUUGAUCAUUAUAGUGCUUUUAUUGAAAACUUUUAUCUUAGAAAUGAAAGUUUCAUGACCAAAAUAAAAUAAAGAGUGUUUUUCCAAAUGUGAAGUGAAUUUGUGACUCUCGCUGUGUUUUAAUUAGUAAGAAACCAAAUGGCUCUUUUAACUUUAAAGGUUACAGACCUCAGAAUUAGAAACGGCUUCAAAUGUAACAUUUUUGUUUCUGUGACUUUCAUAUAAAUUACAAAAUAAUGACGAUACAUUUGAAUUAUGUGAUGGAGAUCAGAGCUUCUCCACCUUUAUCCUAAAUAAAGAAACAGAAAACUUCAAGACUCAAAUGAAACACAGAAUAGAAGAACGAAGGAGUACGUGACUGAAACUGGAAAAACAGUGAUGGUGGGACAGGUCUCUCCAGGAGAACAUUUCAGGGCUGUGGUGAGUAACGGCGACUGGCGCUGGCCCGUCUGUUUGCCUUCCUCCGCUCUUCCUCCAGCCAGGUUCAUCUUCUGUUUGUUCAGGGAUAUUUUGACACAGGAGUGAGAGGAAAAAGUGAAUCCACAUGCUUUUCUGUGUGUGCUCAUCCUCCACACCUCAACAUAACCUCUUCUCCAGGAUCCCACUUUUGUUUGCAUCAACAUUUCUCCAGACGCAUCAGUGUUUGAACCAGAAUCCUUGUAGUUUUUCUGACUUAUUUGAUCAACACGUUUUAAUUUCUACUAUUUUUCAUAAUUUGUUUGUGUUUCACCUGUAAUUUGGGAAAAACUAAUGAUGAUAAAACUGUCUUCUAGGACAUAGUUUCUGCAGAACGGCAGUAGUUCAUCAGACAUUCACCUCUGAGUUAUGGGUAGGACUGUCUCCCCUCUCAUAACUGAGAGUUCUCUGUUUACAUUCUCUCCCGCUAACUUACAGCCCUUCAAACCCCCAACCUGACAUUACCAAAGCCAAAAAAAAAAAAAAA